CGUCUGGAAACGGGCGCUAAUACCGCAUAAUGACUCCGGUCCAAAGAUUUAUCGCUCAAGGAUUAGCCCGCGUCUGAUUAGAUAGUUGGUGAGGUAAUGGCUCACCAAGUCUACGAUCAGUAGCUGGUCUGAGAGGAUGAUCAGCCACACUGGGACUGAGACACGGCCCAGACUCCUACGGGAGGCAGCAGUGAGGAAUAUUGCGCAAUGGGGGAAACCCUGACGCAGCCAUGCCGCGUGAGUGAAGAAGGCCUUAGGGUUGUAAAGCUCUUUCAGAUGCGAAGAUAAUGACGGUAACAUCAGAAGAAG
Molecule: ribosomal RNA, 309 nt
Filed under: uncultured Micavibrio sp.
Lineage: Bacteria; Pseudomonadati; Bdellovibrionota; Bdellovibrionia; Bdellovibrionales; Pseudobdellovibrionaceae
Description: bacterial SSU rRNA
Rfam family: Bacterial small subunit ribosomal RNA
Source: RNAcentral